RNAcentral lists this transfer RNA (63 nucleotides) under Neotoma lepida (desert woodrat). It matches the Rfam family "tRNA", at positions 5 to 66 of the family's 71-position model. Rfam says of the family: Transfer RNA (tRNA) molecules are approximately 80 nucleotides in length. Lineage: Eukaryota; Metazoa; Chordata; Mammalia; Rodentia; Cricetidae. The record is from Rfam by way of RNAcentral.
AUGUAACUUAGUGGUAAGAGUGCUUGCCUGGCAUGUAUGAAGCCCUGAGUUUGAUCUCUGCAU